Molecule: long non-coding RNA, 302 nt
Organism: Photinus pyralis (common eastern firefly)
Lineage: Eukaryota; Metazoa; Arthropoda; Insecta; Coleoptera; Lampyridae
Exons: 3
Source: RefSeq, a predicted model, not a curated record
GUGACUGGUGAGGGCUCAUUGAGUUAGAAAAAUGAAAGCAGUAGUUUCUUUAUUUUUGAUGUCCUUACAGCUCCACAAGCUUAAUUCUAAAAUUUGAAACAAUGAAACGCCGUUGUAGUGAAAAGGUAUGAAAAGAUUCCCAAGAAUUGGAAUCAUCUCUACAGUGUGACCCAAUUUCGAUGGGAUUAAAUGGGUUAAAAGAUAAUAAUUUAACUGAAUUUGGUUCAUUUGUCCAGCCUCAAAAUGGCACACAAUAUUGCGGUGUUUCGAGGACUAAAACAUUAAACAUUUUAAAACGUUAC